RNAcentral lists this ribosomal RNA (460 nucleotides) under uncultured bacterium. Its description in RNAcentral is "SSU rRNA". It matches the Rfam family "Bacterial small subunit ribosomal RNA", at positions 26 to 518 of the family's 1533-position model. The record is from RNAcentral.
AGGAUAAACGCUGGCGGCGUGCCUAACACAUGCAAGUCGAACGCCCUACGCAAGUAGGGAGUGGCGGACGGGUGAGGAACACGUGGGUUAUCUGCCUUUCGGUGAGGAAUACCAGCGAGAAAUCGCUGACAAUACCGCAUACGGUUCUUUCGAGAGGAAGAACGAAAGUCGUAAGACGCCGGGAGAUGAGCCUGCGCCCGAUUAGUUUGUUGGUGGGGUAAAAGCCUACCAAGACUGCAAUCGGUAGCUGGUCUGAGAGGACGAUCAGCCACACUGGGAUUGAGACACGGCCCAGACUCCUACGGGAGGCAGCAGUGAGGAAUUUUCCGCAAUGGGCGAAAGCCUGACGGAGCGACGCCGCGUGCACGAGGAAGGUCUUCGGAUCGUAAAGUGCUGUCGAGGGGGACGAUUAUGACGGUACCCCUGGAGGAAGCCCGGCUAACUACGUGCCAGCAGCCGC